CAGCAGCCACGGGAAUACGUAGGGUGCAAGCGUUAAUCGGAAUUACUGGGCGUAAAGCGUGCGCAGGCGGUUAUAUAAGACAGAUGUGAAAUCCCCGGGCUCAACCUGGGAACUGCAUUUGUGACUGUAUAGCUAGAGUACGGCAGAGGGGGAUGGAAUUCCGCGUGUAGCAGUGAAAUGCGUAGAUAUGCGGAGGAACACCGAUGGCGAAGGCAAUCCCCUGGGCCUGUACUGACGCUCAUGCACGAAAGCGUGGGGAGCAAACAGGAUUAGAUACCCCUGUAGUCCCUGUCUCUUAUAC
Molecule: ribosomal RNA, 301 nt
Filed under: uncultured bacterium
Lineage: Bacteria
Description: partial 16S ribosomal RNA
Rfam family: Bacterial small subunit ribosomal RNA
Source: RNAcentral